Molecule: ribosomal RNA, 497 nt
Filed under: uncultured bacterium
Lineage: Bacteria
Description: partial 16S ribosomal RNA
Rfam family: Bacterial small subunit ribosomal RNA
Source: RNAcentral
GAUGAACGCUGGCGGCGUGCCUAAUACAUGCAAGUCGAGCGAACAGACGAGGAGCUUGCUCCUUUGACGUUAGCGGCGGACGGGUGAGUAACACGUAGGUAACCUACCUAUAAGACUGGGAUAACUUCGGGAAACCGGAGCUAAUACCGGAUAAUAUUUCGAACCGCAUGGUUCGAUAGUGAAAGAUGGCUUUGCUAUCACUUAUAGAUGGACCUGCGCCGUAAUAGCUAGUUGGUAAGGUAACGGCUUACCAAGGCAACGAUACGUAGCCGACCUGAGAGGGUGAUCGGCCACACUGGAACUGAGACACGGUGCAGACUCCUACGAGAGGCAGCAGUAGGGAAUCUUCCGCAAUGGGCGAAAGCCUGAAGGAGCAACGCAGCGUGAGUGAUGAAGGUCUUCGGAUCGUAAAACUCUGUUAUUAGGGAAGAACAAACGUGUAAGUAACUGUGCACGUCGUGACGGUACCUAAUCAGAAAGCCACGGCUAACUAAGUG